This 434-nucleotide ribosomal RNA is filed under the name uncultured bacterium. Its description in RNAcentral is "bacterial SSU rRNA". It matches the Rfam family "Bacterial small subunit ribosomal RNA", at positions 355 to 786 of the family's 1533-position model. The record is from RNAcentral.
UGAGGAAUAUUGGUCAAUGGGCGGGAGCCUGAACCAGCCAAGCCGCGUGAGGGAGGAAGGCCCUAUGGGUCGUAAACCUCUUUUGUCAGGGAACAAAAGCGAGUAUGUAUACUAGUCUGAGUGUACCUGAAGAAAAAGCAUCGGCUAACUCCGUGCCAGCAGCCGCGGUAAUACGGAGGAUGCGAGCGUUAUCCGGAUUUAUUGGGUUUAAAGGGUGCGUAGGCGGCGGUGCAAGUCAGCGGUAAAAGCCCGGGGGCUCAACCCCGGCGAGCCGUUGAAACUGCAGUGCUAGAGAAGGCGAGAGGUACGCGGAAUGCGCAGUGUAGCGGUGAAAUGCUUAGAUAUUGCGCAGAACUCCGAUUGCGAAGACAGCGUACUGGCGCCUGACUGACGCUGAGGCACGAAAGCGUGGGGAUCGAACAGGAUUAGAUACC